AAGAUUGAACUGAAGAGUUUGAUCAUGGCUCAGAUUGAACGCUGGCGGCAGGCCUAACACAUGCAAGUCGAGCGCGAAAACACUUCGGUGUGAGUAGAGCGGCGGA
Molecule: ribosomal RNA, 106 nt
Filed under: Porticoccaceae bacterium
Lineage: Bacteria; Pseudomonadati; Pseudomonadota; Gammaproteobacteria; Cellvibrionales; Porticoccaceae
Description: partial 16S ribosomal RNA
Rfam family: Bacterial small subunit ribosomal RNA
Source: RNAcentral